ACGUAGGGUGCGAGCGUUAAUCGGAAUUACUGGGCGUAAAGCGUGCGCAGGCGGUUCGCUGUGUCCUGUGUGAAAGCCCCGGGCUUAACCUGGGAAUGGCAUGGGAAACUGGCGAGCUUGAGUGCGGCAGAGGGGGGUGGAAUUCCGCGUGUAGCAGUGAAAUGCGUAGAUGUUGGGAAGAACACCGGUGGCGAAGGCGGCGCUCUGGACCGAGACUGACGCUGAUGCGCGAAAGCGUGGGGAGCAAACGGGA
This 253-nucleotide ribosomal RNA is filed under the name uncultured prokaryote. RNAcentral's name for it is "partial 16S ribosomal RNA". It matches the Rfam family "Bacterial small subunit ribosomal RNA", at positions 525 to 777 of the family's 1533-position model. The record is from RNAcentral.